Molecule: ribosomal RNA, 222 nt
Filed under: uncultured bacterium
Lineage: Bacteria
Description: partial 16S ribosomal RNA
Rfam family: Bacterial small subunit ribosomal RNA
Source: RNAcentral
AGUAAUGUAUGGGGAUCUGCCCGAUAGAGGGGGAUAACUACUGGAAACGGUGGCUAAUACCGCAUAAUGUCUACGGACCAAAGCAGGGGCUCUUCGGACCUUGCACUAUCGGAUGAACCCAUAUGGGAUUAGCUAGUAGGUGGGGUAAAGGCUCACCUAGGCGACGAUCUCUAGCUGGUCUGAGAGGAUGACCAGCCACACUGGGACUGAGACACGGCCCAG